This 276-nucleotide small RNA is filed under the name Octodon degus (degu). RNAcentral describes it as "7SK RNA (ENSODEG00000024066.1)". It matches the Rfam family "7SK RNA", at positions 1 to 251 of the family's 331-position model. Rfam says of the family: 7SK was discovered as an abundant small nuclear RNA in the mid-70s but a possible function has only recently been suggested. Two independent studies have found that 7SK RNA binds the CDK9/cyclin T complex (known as elongation factor P-TEFb). The record is from RNAcentral. Lineage: Eukaryota; Metazoa; Chordata; Mammalia; Rodentia; Octodontidae.
GGAUAUGAGGCCGAACUGGCUGUGACAUCUGUCACCCAUUGAUCGCCAGGGUUGAUUCGGCUGAUCUGGCUGGCUAGGCGGGUGUCCGCUUCCUCCCUCAACACUCCAUGCAUGUCCCUCCCUAAGCUGCAUGCUCAGUCCAAGAGGACGACCACCCCCGAUCAAGAAAGAUCAUUCCUCGGUCAAGGGUGUACAAGUAGUUGUGCUCCCCUGCUAGAGCCCCGAAAGAAGCUUUUAAAAAUGCUUUGACAUAUUCACUUGUGUUUUCCCAUUUUG